Molecule: transfer RNA, 73 nt
Organism: Pseudomonas sp. BAY1663
Lineage: Bacteria; Pseudomonadati; Pseudomonadota; Gammaproteobacteria; Pseudomonadales; Pseudomonadaceae
Rfam family: tRNA
About the family: Transfer RNA (tRNA) molecules are approximately 80 nucleotides in length.
Source: Rfam
GCAUCCGUAGCUCAGCUGGAUAGAGUACUGCCCUCCGAAGGCAGUGAUCAUCGGGUUGAGAAGCUCGGAAGCU